AUCUUUGCGCUUGGGGCAAUGACGCAGCUAGUGAGGUUCUAACCGAGGCGCGUCUAUUGCUGGUUGAAAACUAUUUCCAAACCCCUCUUUGGCCUGGGUUCUGCCUUGGCCAUUGAGAAUUUUUUGAAAGGGCUUCCCUUCUGGGUUAAGCCC
Molecule: small nuclear RNA, 153 nt
Filed under: Solanum tuberosum (potato)
Lineage: Eukaryota; Viridiplantae; Streptophyta; Magnoliopsida; Solanales; Solanaceae
Description: snRNA U4
Rfam family: U4 spliceosomal RNA
About the family: U4 small nuclear RNA (U4 snRNA) is a component of the major U2-dependent spliceosome. The structure of U4 snRNA from yeast and human has been reported.
Source: Rfam by way of RNAcentral